UUUCAUCUCGAGUAUUCCUCCAUUUGAGUAGAAUUUUACCCGUUGAACACAUCGAAAUAUAAUUCGGAUAUAUGAAAAGUUUGCACAUAAGUACCACAUAUGUAGCCAAGCUACCAUGUAACCCGACCAUAAGUGAACUCAGACUCAACUCAACGAGCUCGGGCGUUCGCAUCCAUAAGUGAACUCGGGCUCAACUCAAUGAGCUCGGACGCCUAGUUACAUCUCAUGAACUCGGACUCAACUCAACGAGUUCGAACACUCGCAUCCAUAAG
Molecule: long non-coding RNA, 272 nt
Filed under: Gossypium barbadense (sea-island cotton)
Lineage: Eukaryota; Viridiplantae; Streptophyta; Magnoliopsida; Malvales; Malvaceae
Description: long non-coding RNA (GBAR_LNC009995)
Source: RNAcentral